Molecule: long non-coding RNA, 2647 nt
Filed under: Homo sapiens (human)
Lineage: Eukaryota; Metazoa; Chordata; Mammalia; Primates; Hominidae
Description: HSALNT0327684
Source: RNAcentral
UGCUCUCAGAGCUAUACCCGGGAGGAACCUGCGUGUGAAUGAGACGGCUGUCAGCAAGCCUACACUCAAAGGAUUUACCCGGUGCAGAGAGCUCCAAGAGAACACCAGAGCCCCUGGUAUUCUGGUUCACUUGAAUUUGUCCUCCUGCCUAUUCCAUAUUUUUUUCACACAUAUAAUCAUUUGUUUGCAGUCCGGAAAUAUAAAACCAUUCAAGAAACGGAGGCCCAACUAUUGGCUUCCCGAUUAUUCUACCAACUCUACCAAAUCCUUGUUCUUCGUUGCACAAUUAGCUGUGAAACAGACAGAGGUUACCUACAAUAAGGUCACCAGCUCGAACAGACCCUUCUUGCUCUGUCCCAAGGACAAAGAAGAUGGCUGCUGCGUUCCCCUCUGUGAAGAAUUUGCUGGCCUUUGAAAGAAACGGUCAGUAGAAGAUUCACUGGAUAGUGAAAUUCUUUGUGCCUGGGAUGUGUUCAGUCUGCUUUUCUGCUGCACCAGGAAAGAAGGUCCAGUGUCUUAUUUCAUUCUGGAGCUUUUUGAAACUUUUUACUCUGUACUUUAAUUUUGGCAACCUUGGACUGAUGGGGUUUGUAGAUAUUAAUUAUCAAAUUGUUAUUUAUUAGCUGAUAUUCUUUCAAUUCAAUAAAUAUUUUAAAUCCCUUGUGGUGUCUGUUGAACACGUUACCAGGAAACUGAAAUAAUAUCUUCAGUCUUCCUUUUCUUUCCUCCACAAAAUAGAAAGAAGAUAACUAUACAUAGCUGAUAGUUAUUUUCUCUCAGAAAUUCAAAUAUAUUAUUUUUAAGUGCUUCUGUAAAUAUUUGAACUGAAUGCAAUUUAAAAAAUAAAAAUCUAAAGACCAAUACAAUUUUAUCUCAUAAGAUUUUUAUUUUUGACCUUUAAGUCAAGAAUUAAUAUCUCUAUAUUAGCUGCAAAUGGAUUUAAUUACCUAUAUCUGAUUCCAUGUUAAUAAUAUUAAACCCAACAUAGAAAUAUUGCAAUUAUGGGUGUGGUUUUUACCUAAGUAUUCCCAGGAGCAUUUGGGACCAGGCAGAAUAUGGAAAUGUUAAAGGUUACAGCUCAGGAGCUAAAGGUGCGCCUAUAAUGAACUAAAUCAAAGUUCAAUGAAAUAAAUUCAAGAUAUUUAUUGAUGUUUAUUAGGGACCUUAAUGGAUCCACUUUAUUUACUUGCAGGAUAAUUGGAGUAUAGCAGUGUAAGUAGAAGUUUCAGUAGAAGGAAGCAGCCUAUUGUUAAAGACCAGUUGUUCACUUUGCUGAUGAUUAAACACUGCUCUAAUAUAAAGGCAAAAAAUAUUUGCUGUGUUUUCCUUUUUUCUGUUUAGGCUUAAAGGAAACAUAAGUAGCUGUAGUAUUGUGAUAGAGUAGACACCUAAAGUCAUCAGUUUUAGGUAAAAGGCUAGUGAGGCCACUCCUGAAAUUUUGCGUUGGAGGGGCUACAAAUUACUAUUAUCCUUCUGAUUCCAGUUGUGUGUGUUACAAGUUUAUUUUCUGCAACUUUGAGGACUUGAAAUUUUCCUUAAUGCAUUUGUUCAACUUCUUUCCAAGAAAAUUAUGCUAUUAAUUUAAUUACUAAGAUCUUUAUUUGUAUUUAACUUAUUAAAUAUAUGUGUUAGGAAUUGCUUAGUAGAGUAUUAUUUAUGGUUACAUAAGAAAAACACUGCUAAUAAAUAUAACUAGGAAAGAGGGAAGGCUGCUGGGAUUCAUCACAUACAGCAUAUAGCCAAGGUAUUGUAAAAGCAGUCAUUUAUUAUAUGUGACUGUAUUUACAUUUUUAAUAUUUGUAUUGUCCGGAAGGAUUUUCUUGCAAAAGAGUGGUAAAAGAGGCCAAUAAUCAUUAAUAUAACUAGAUAAGUUCCUUGCAGAAAGGCAGAAAAAUGCUCCAGAAACAUCAUAUGCUAAAUUUUCUAGGAACUGUGGAUAGCUGUGGAUAGCUGGGUUUCAGCCAAUUUUUGACAGCAUAUAAAUAAUUUUGAUAUAUACGAAAGAAACUUUGGAAAAGUUCAGAUGAGCUUUUCCUUGGAGACAUGACUGCACAAAGUUGGGGUGCUGAUUAUAGUUCAUUCAGUGCAAAAUGAUCCCCUAUUCCCAGCUUUAUACUCCAGUAGUAAUUACAUGGGCUCCCAGAAUGGGGCUAAAAAUGAGGCCUCUUUUUAUACAGUAACUUGGCUGUCACAUUUGUCGCAGAGAAAAAAGAAAACCGUUGAUGCGAGUUUGUAACAGGGUUCAAACACUUUUCAGGUUCACCAUUGUUUUUAUUUUCCAAUAGAAUUUCGUUUGACUCUUGCCUACACUUCUAUCUAUUGUUAUCUCUCACUUCUGCUAGCCUCAGCCUGCUUUCUACAUAUACUCCACUCAAAAGAGGCUGAAGCAAUUCUGAAACGUGUUUAUACAAUUAUUCACUGACCACAUCUGUGUCUACACAUGCAGUAUGAAGUAAAGAUUUCUCCCAAUUAUAUUCAGACUCUAACAAAAUGGCAAAUCACUCUGUUAGAAUAACCACUUAAUAACUUCAUUCUGCUCCUAUGUGUCAAUUUAAGUGCAAAUAAAAUUGAUGCCUGAGAAACAUUUUGUGGAAGGAACAUUUUGUGGGAGAUGAUUGUCAAGAAGGAUUACUUAAGUGUUUCCCAG